Molecule: ribosomal RNA, 446 nt
Filed under: uncultured bacterium
Lineage: Bacteria
Description: partial 16S ribosomal RNA
Rfam family: Bacterial small subunit ribosomal RNA
Source: RNAcentral
CCUACGGGAGGCAGCAGUCGAGAAUCAUUCACAAUGGGGGAAACCCUGAUGGUGCGACGCCGCGUGGGGGAAUGAAGGUCUUCGGAUUGUAAACCCCUGUCAUGUGGGAGCAAAUUAUAAAGAUAGUACCACAAGAGGAAGAGACGGCUAACUCUGUGCCAGCAGCCGCGGUAAUACAGAGGUCUCAAGCGUUGUUCGGAAUCACUGGGCGUAAAGGGUGCGUAGGCUGUUUCGUAAGUCGUGUGUGAAAGGCGCGGGCUCAACCCGCGGACGGCACAUGAUACUGCGAGACUAGAGUAAUGGAGGGGGAAGCGGAAUUCGCGGUGUAGCAGUGAAAUGCGUAGAUAUCGAGAGGAACACUCGUGGCGAAGGCGGGUUCCUGGACAUUAACUGACGCUGAGGCACGAAGGCCAGGGGAGCGAAAGGGAUUAGAUACCCCGGUAGUC